UUGCAGCUGAUUGUUUCCAAGGAAUGAAUC
RNAcentral lists this non-coding RNA (30 nucleotides) under Mus musculus (house mouse). Lineage: Eukaryota; Metazoa; Chordata; Mammalia; Rodentia; Muridae. The record is from RNAcentral.